UUGAUCUCAUAGAUAUUAUAACCUACAACAAACCACCACUGCCACAGGAUCCGACUACAGCCUCACCAUCUUUCAAACACUGCAGAGCAACAUCUCCUGUCCAUUAGGCUACUCCCUGGACUACAGCCCAUCUGUUUGGAGUACCAGAGGACUCACCAUGUGGCUAAAAGGUUUUAUAAGUAACCAUGUCAACAUGAAACUUCUGAAGACCUGUGUCAUCCUUCUCCUUCUGACUGUGUUGUUCUUUGUACUAAGAAACAUGGACCUGCUGCAGGCACACCUCAGGUCA
Non-coding RNA from Labrus bergylta (ballan wrasse), 289 nucleotides. Lineage: Eukaryota; Metazoa; Chordata; Actinopteri; Labriformes; Labridae. The record is from RefSeq and is a predicted model, not a curated record.